GACGAACGCUGGCGGCGUGCUUAACACAUGCAAGUCGAACGGUGAAGCGCCUUCCUUUUUGGUGGGUGUGGAUGAGUGGCGAACGGGUGAGUAACACGUGAGUAACCUGCCCCCUUCUUCUGGAUAACCGCAUGAAAGUGUGGCUAAUACGGGAUGUUCUGGGUCUGUCGCAUGAUGGGUCUGGGAAAGAUAUUGUUUCGGUGGGGGAUGGGCCCGCGGCCCAUCAGCUUGUUGGUGGGGUGAGGGCCUACCAAGGCGGUGACGGGUAGCCGGCCUGAGAGGGUGGACGGUCACACUGGGACUGAGACACGGCCCAGACUCCUACGGGAGGCAGCAGUGGGGAAUAUUGCACAAUGGGCGCAAGCCUGAUGCAGCGACGCCGCGUGAGGGAUGGAGGCCUUCGGGUUGUGAACCUCUUUCGCCAGUGAAGCAGGCCUGCCUCGUUUGUGGGUGGGUUGACGGUAGCUGGAUAAGAAGCGCCGGCUAACUACGUG
RNAcentral lists this ribosomal RNA (494 nucleotides) under uncultured bacterium. RNAcentral's name for it is "partial 16S ribosomal RNA". It matches the Rfam family "Bacterial small subunit ribosomal RNA", at positions 28 to 507 of the family's 1533-position model. The record is from RNAcentral.